This 224-nucleotide long non-coding RNA is filed under the name Elaeis guineensis (African oil palm). RNAcentral's name for it is "long non-coding RNA (EGUI_LNC009291)". Lineage: Eukaryota; Viridiplantae; Streptophyta; Magnoliopsida; Arecales; Arecaceae. The record is from RNAcentral.
UAGCUAUUCAAAUUCAAACUUUAUCAGAUGUAUCACAGUAGGAAGUCUAUCAUCAUAUAUAUCUUUCUAUUUGCAAGAGGUGCUAUAUCUUGAAUGAGUGCGAAAAAGACCUUUUCACUAUAUCCAUUAUGGAAGCAGAGCAUAUAGACAAUUAUGAGACUUCCUCAUAAGCCAUCUAGUUAUAGAAUUUUAUCAUAAAACUUAGAGUUAUGAAUUCUAUUAGC